RNAcentral lists this ribosomal RNA (119 nucleotides) under Pteropus alecto (black flying fox). The record is from RNAcentral. Lineage: Eukaryota; Metazoa; Chordata; Mammalia; Chiroptera; Pteropodidae.
GUCUACAGCCAUUCCACCCUGAACAAGCCCGAUCCCGGCUGAUCUCGGAAGCUAAGCAGGGUUGGGCCUGGUUAGUACUUGGAUGGGAGACCACCUAGGAAAACCAGGUGCUGUAGGUA